UCAACGGCUCUUUUAAGAGCCACCCAAGGUUUCCUAAAAAGAGCUGG
Molecule: non-coding RNA, 47 nt
Organism: Tauraco erythrolophus (red-crested turaco)
Lineage: Eukaryota; Metazoa; Chordata; Aves; Musophagiformes; Musophagidae
Source: Rfam